RNAcentral lists this unclassified non-coding RNA (200 nucleotides) under Hygrophorus sp. Its description in RNAcentral is "partial internal transcribed spacer 2". Lineage: Eukaryota; Fungi; Basidiomycota; Agaricomycetes; Agaricales; Hygrophoraceae. The record is from RNAcentral.
UUAAGUUCAGCGGGUAGUCCUACCUGAUUUGAGGUCAAAGUGUUAUGUGUUGUUAUAGAAACAACAACUAGAAGCUAACAUUUGCUUCAAAGCUAUUAGCAUAGAUAUUUAUCAAACUAAAGCUUCUGUGAAGAUGAUGCUAGCUAAUACAUUUAAAAGUAGCCGACUUUGAAAGGCCAGCAACACUUCAAAAUCCAAAG